Molecule: long non-coding RNA, 3520 nt
Organism: Heterocephalus glaber (naked mole-rat)
Lineage: Eukaryota; Metazoa; Chordata; Mammalia; Rodentia; Bathyergidae
Source: Ensembl
GGCGCCUGCCCCGACUGUGCGGACCGGGAGCGGAGCGCGCGCGGCCCGGCCCCCAGCGAGCUGGCGUCGCGUUUGAUUUCAGCGCGCGGCCUGGAGCGCGCGAAAAUGAGUGUUUUAAAGCUGCUGCAAUUAUUACUUCUCAGGAAAAGAUCCCAGGUGAAGAAAUGAAGAUUGCUAACACUGUACAAGUGCGUCCUGGGCUCUGGGCUCAUGCUUAGUGCUUUAUAACAUUUUAUUGUUUCUCAAAACAACUCUAUGAGAGUCUUCCCUUGGGAAAGUGAAGCUUCCUAGAGUGAGGUGACCAGUGGCCUGUGGAAUGCUUUGCUUCUUGUGACUGUUAAUUCUGAUAUGUCAACUUCACCGGAAGAAAUGCCUAGCAGCUCCCCUGCUCUGCUUCUGGACAUUGUGAACUAAGCAGCUUUUCCAGCCUGCUGACUAUGGAUUGAAUCUCCUGAAACUAACCUGUCAAAUCUCCCCAUGGUGAUGAGCUCAGAUCCAGCAGAGUCAAGCCAAUAUUCAUUUGUUUUCAAGCAACUUUUCUCUCCUGAUCACCCGGAAAAUCCUUCCAGAAUUACCAAUAAUCAUCUCAACAAAAAGUUGAAGAGAGCCAGCAGUAAAAAGAGAAAACAAUAGCUAAAAGAAGAAUCAAGAACAAAGCAAAAGGACUUUGUGAGGAAGGAAAGAAGCUUCCAGGGCUUCAGCAGAAGAAACAAGACCAAGUGGAGCAAAUGCAGUGAAAUCAGGACAUGAGAUCUUUUCAAACUACUUGUAGAGGGUGUUCUCUUUUCCUUCAUGCAUAGGUCAGCACAAACAACACACCCUAUUUCAAGGAGGACCUCUGUUGGCUUGUUAUUGUCAUAUGUCCCUGGAGAGAGAAGGGUAUGGACAGUCAUCUUCUCCAUCUUAGGAUACAGACAGCUGUGUCUCCCAAUUUGCCUCAUCUGCUGGCUUCCAGCUAGGUUUGUUCAUGAGAGGCACUCAGGAGAGAUUGGAGAACAGUGCAGGUGCAGAGGUGGGCGACGGAGCUCCAGGUUCCUGGCUGGACUGGGCGGUGACUGGAAGCUCCAGGACUCGCAACUUGAGAUUUCAGUAGAGAGGUGUUGUGGCAUGAUGUCCCGCAACAGGAGAGCUGACUAAUACAAUAAUCCCCCAAAGUGAUUUGGAAAGUACCUUAAACUGAAAAGAUGGGAACAAUCAGCAGCUGCAGAAACACUACUUGAGUAAAACCUUAAGAAAAAUUUAAAUUUAAGUAGAGUCUCCUAAGAUAUAUCUUCCACUGACCCUUCUCCAAGGGAGUUUCUUGCUUAUGAGAAGACAACCUUGUAUCAAAAAGUCUGAUAAAUAUUCUUGGAAGCCCAACUUCACCCUGACAUUUGUUAGAUUGUAUGGGGGAUUGAACUCAGGACCUUGUGCUUGUGAGGCAGGCGUGGCACCACUGAGCGACAUUCCUGGUGCCCCAUUCUAUUUGAAUAGUGAAAACACAUACCAAGAUAAUGCCUCUGAAUAUUCCUUCUCUACCCCAGUCACAUGAUAUUCAGAUCAGAAAACACUGAUCCCUGCCUGAUAAGCUAGCCUGGUAUCUUCAUCUCCAGAUAAAGCCCAUUACAAGUGCUUUGGCCUUCAGGUCUCUACCCCUUUCCUCCGAUCAUGGAUGCUCUUGCAGCACCUACCAGCCACUGCCACCUGAAAUGAGCAAAAGAUAAACAUAUCCAUGAAUAAGAACAUCUAUAGCAAAUGCUACAAACAACAGCCAGCAUGUAGCGGCUGAGGACAACACUUAGGAACAUGGCUAAGAGUGUGGACCAUUAUCCUCUGGUGCCAAUAUUUAAGUGAUGAGACUCUUUGUCCUGAAAGACUUGCAGGAGAAGGGCAGAGCAUCCUGGUUUCUUGCCAAAGGAGGAUUCAGAAUUGGUCUCAUCUUACAGGGGCACCAGUGACUAGAUUGAGGAACUGUCAAAACUGAGGAGAAGACCCCAAGCUGGAGGCCUGUCCCUGGUAUGGUACCACUGCAGUAGACCAGAGUGGAAGAGGAGGGUCCAGGAGUUCAGAGCACAUCAGGGACCCAGAGACAAUUGGGGACUCUAUGUAAUCUUGGAUUGUUCUGCAAAAGAAGCCUCAUUGGAGGCCAAUGGCCUGGGUGCCAGGCCGGGAGGAAAGCCUUCAUUUCCAGCUCACCCGGGAGAGGCAGAAGAUAGGAGGUGCUGUGGAGCAGCUGAGGCAUCUGGAGUCUGGAAGUGAUCUGGAAGCACAUACUGUACAGCUAUAGAGCUGAUAUGUUACUGUUGGCAUCAUUAUUCAUGGAGGGAGCUGGAGCAGUGAACUCGCUAGUGCAUUUGAAUCACUCAGAAGAAGAGAGAAAACUCCAAAGGAUUCCAGAGUUAAAAGGAUGUGAAGGAGUGGCUCUCUACUGUAUAAGAAACCACUGAAAAGCAAAGACAGCUAUGGUCCAGAGCGAGAAAGACAGAGCUGAAGAGAAGCACUUACAUCAGCCUGGAGGCUGAGUUGUGUCCUCAGACCUUAUUCAGACCAAACUGUCAGUGCGGGAACAACCCACUGCUUUUAUUUAAAGGUUGUAAAUUUUACUAUAUUUAAAAUAAUCAUCCUAGAUAAGUGAAGAGUUGAUAAAUGAGCUCAAUCUGUAUAGGGCCUUGUAAGAGCAAAGCUGCAUAUAAUUGCACGAUUGCCCUGGGGGUUGCGCUUUACUCUGCAGAGUGGAAAAGGCAAUGCCUUGUGAAAUGGGAACCCAGGGCUCUUGUGGUUAAGCAAAAGGAACAAUUUCAUCCCACCCUUGGCUCCCUUUGCUUUGUCAUAGGGCUGCCAGAGAAACUCCUGAAAGAGAAGCUCAGUGUUCUCCACUCUAAUUGAAUGAGUCCAGCCAUCACCUUUGGAGAUGCGCAGGACACCAGAAGGAUGACAUCCAAGCCUUGACACCAGGCUUGACACCAGGUCUCCUCCAACAUAGCUCAUUUCAAAUGCAGGUAUUGCAUCCUACCGACUCCCAAGGACUCUGGACACCAAAGGAACCAAUACCAUGACAAAGUGACCAGCUUGGAUCCAAACCCUGGGAAGCACCUGGAACCCUGCACACAUGUGACCUACAUAAGGAGCCACUGGAUGGCACUGUGGGUCCAUGCAAAUGUGUAUGGACGGACAUUUAUCUUUCCUUUGAAAAGACUGUUUAGCUUUGACAGGUAAUUUGGCACAUUUUGAGUUGAAAUGUGCCAAAUGAUUUGGCAAAUAUUUCACUUACCUCUGAAAAUAGGCACACCUGCUGUUGUGGCCUGUAGGGAGAUGGAGAGUAGCUUUUACCCUAGCCUCCUUGUGAUUGUUAAUUUCAGAAGUGAAAAUAAGAUUUUGGUCAAGGAUACAUAGGCCAACCUUAUAUUUUAAAGAGACAGUGAAAGUUUAGUGUCUCUCAUGGAACCAACUCCCCCCUCCAGAGAGAGCAUCUUUUUGUCUCCCCAGUGCCAUCUGUCUGCAGUAGCUGGCUUGUCUGGUUUAUGACCAGAUGGAACGGAAU